CGCCGCCUCGGCGACGGCGGUGCCGGACGGCUGCAGCUCGUCGACGGCGUUCAUCACGUCGGCGACGGC
RNAcentral lists this transfer RNA (69 nucleotides) under Actinoplanes sp. OR16. Its description in RNAcentral is "tRNA-Cys". The record is from RNAcentral. Lineage: Bacteria; Bacillati; Actinomycetota; Actinomycetes; Micromonosporales; Micromonosporaceae.